RNAcentral lists this ribosomal RNA (253 nucleotides) under uncultured bacterium. Its description in RNAcentral is "partial 16S ribosomal RNA". It matches the Rfam family "Bacterial small subunit ribosomal RNA", at positions 524 to 776 of the family's 1533-position model. The record is from RNAcentral.
UACGUAGGGUGCGAGCGUUAAUCGGAAUUACUGGGCGUAAAGCGUGCGCAGGCGGUUGGUUAAGUCUGAUGUGAAAUCCCCGGGCUCAACCUGGGAACUGCAUUUGUGACUGCACGGCUGGAGUGCGGCAGAGGGGGAUGGAAUUCCGCGUGUAGCAGUGAAAUGCGUAGAUAUGCGGAGGAACACCGAUGGCGAAGGCAAUCCCCUGGGCCUGCACUGACGCUCAUGCACGAAAGCGUGGGGAGCAAACAGG